This 823-nucleotide ribosomal RNA is filed under the name Mycolicibacterium sp. RNAcentral's name for it is "bacterial SSU rRNA". It matches the Rfam family "Bacterial small subunit ribosomal RNA", at positions 67 to 904 of the family's 1533-position model. Lineage: Bacteria; Bacillati; Actinomycetota; Actinomycetes; Mycobacteriales; Mycobacteriaceae. The record is from RNAcentral.
CGGAAAGGCCCUUCGGGGUACUCGAGUGGCGAACGGGUGAGUAACACGUGGGUGAUCUGCCCUGCACUUUGGGAUAAGCCUGGGAAACUGGGUCUAAUACCGAAUAUGACCGCGCACUUCCUGGUGUGUGGUGGAAAGCUUUUGCGGUGUGGGAUGGGCCCGCGGCCUAUCAGCUUGUUGGUGGGGUAAUGGCCUACCAAGGCGACGACGGGUAGCCGGCCUGAGAGGGUGACCGGCCACACUGGGACUGAGAUACGGCCCAGACUCCUACGGGAGGCAGCAGUGGGGAAUAUUGCACAAUGGGCGCAAGCCUGAUGCAGCGACGCCGCGUGAGGGAUGACGGCCUUCGGGUUGUAAACCUCUUUCAAUAGGGACGAAGCGCAAGUGACGGUACCUAUAGAAGAAGGACCGGCCAACUACGUGCCAGCAGCCGCGGUAAUACGUAGGGUCCGAGCGUUGUCCGGAAUUACUGGGCGUAAAGAGCUCGUAGGUGGUUUGUCGCGUUGUUCGUGAAAACUCACAGCUUAACUGUGGGCGUGCGGGCGAUACGGGCAGACUAGAGUACUGCAGGGGAGACUGGAAUUCCUGGUGUAGCGGUGGAAUGCGCAGAUAUCAGGAGGAACACCGGUGGCGAAGGCGGGUCUCUGGGCAGUAACUGACGCUGAGGAGCGAAAGCGUGGGGAGCGAACAGGAUUAGAUACCCUGGUAGUCCACGCCGUAAACGGUGGGUACUAGGUGUGGGUUUCCUUCCUUGGGAUCCGUGCCGUAGCUAACGCAUUAAGUACCCCGCCUGGGGGAGUACGGCCGCAAGGCUAAAACUCAA